RNAcentral lists this ribosomal RNA (497 nucleotides) under uncultured bacterium. RNAcentral's name for it is "partial 16S ribosomal RNA". It matches the Rfam family "Bacterial small subunit ribosomal RNA", at positions 28 to 507 of the family's 1533-position model. The record is from RNAcentral.
GAUGAACGCUGGCGGCGUGCCUAAUACAUGCAAGUCGAGCGAACAGACGAGGAGCUUGCUCCUCUGACGUUAGCGGCGGACGGGUGAGUAACACGUGGAUAACCUACCUAUAAGACUGGGAUAACUUCGGGAAACCGGAGCUAAUACCGGAUAAUAUAUUGAACCGCAUGGUUCAAUAGUGAAAGACGGUUUUGCUGUCACUUAUAGAUGGAUCCGCGCCGCAUUAGCUAGUUGGUAAGGUAACGGCCUACCAAGGCAACGAUGCGUAGCCGACCUGAGAGGGUGAUCGGCCACACUGGAACUGAGACACGGUCCAGACUCCUACGGGAGGCAGCAGUAGGGAAUCUUCCGCAAUGGGCGAAAGCCUGACGGAGCAACGCCGCGUGAGUGAUGAAGGUCUUCGGAUCGUAAAACUCUGUUAUUAGGGAAGAGCAAAUGUGUAAGUAACUAUGCACGUCUUGACGGUACCUAAUCAGAAAGCCACGGCUAACUACGUG